Molecule: ribosomal RNA, 227 nt
Filed under: uncultured bacterium
Lineage: Bacteria
Description: partial 16S ribosomal RNA
Rfam family: Bacterial small subunit ribosomal RNA
Source: RNAcentral
GAUCCUGGCUCAGGAUGAACGCUAGCGACAGGCUUAACACAUGCAAGUCGAGGGGCGAGCAUGGUCAGUAGCAAUACCGACUGAUGGCGACCGGCGCACGGGUGAGUAACGCGUAUGCAACCUGCCCUGGUACAGGGGGAUAGCCCAUGGAAACGUGGAUUAAUAUCCCAUAGUAAUCAUGAUAGGCAUCUAUUUUGAUUUAAAUCUUCUGAGGUACAGGAUGGGCA